RNAcentral lists this ribosomal RNA (306 nucleotides) under uncultured bacterium. RNAcentral describes it as "partial 16S ribosomal RNA". It matches the Rfam family "Bacterial small subunit ribosomal RNA", at positions 507 to 807 of the family's 1533-position model. The record is from RNAcentral.
GACAGCAGCCGCCACGGGAAUACAGAGGGUGCGAGCGUUAAUCGGAUUUACUGGGCGUAAAGCGUGCGUAGGCGGCUUCUUAAGUCGGAUGUGAAAUCCCUGAGCUUAACUUAGGAAUUGCAUUCGAUACUGGGAAGCUAGAGUAUGGGAGAGGAUGGUAGAAUUCCAGGUGUAGCGGUGAAAUGCGUAGAGAUCUGGAGGAAUACCGAUGGCGAAGGCAGCCAUCUGGCCUAAUACUGACGCUGAGGUACAAAAGCAUGGGGAGCAAACAGGAUUAGAUACCCCCGUAGUCCCUGUCUCUUAUAC